GAGUUCAUUUGAGAAGCAUCUAUCCUUCUAUGAUGCCAUCCUUAUUACCGAUAUUCCUUGCACUGGCUGCCUCCUCGUGUGCCUUGUCACAGGUGGUUCUAACCCAGCCGAAGGAAGCAGUGCUGAAAAGACCUGGAGAAUCACAUCAACUGACCUGCGCUACCUCUGGGUUCGAUCUUGGCAGCUACGGGAUGUACUGGGUCCGGCAGAAGCCCAGAAAAGGAUUGGAAUGGCUUGUUUACUACUACGACCCAAGCAGCAAUUAUUAUUCCUCAGCUAUUCAAGGGAGAUUCACAGCCUCAAAAUCUGGCUCCAGUUUCUACCUGCAAAUGAACAACCUGAAUGCAGAGGACACGGCUGUGUAUUAUUGUGCAAGAGACGCACAGUGCAAGGGAUUCUAG
Sphaerodactylus townsendi is the source of this 401-nucleotide non-coding RNA. The record is from the annotation of a RefSeq genome assembly. Lineage: Eukaryota; Metazoa; Chordata; Lepidosauria; Squamata; Sphaerodactylidae.